Molecule: ribosomal RNA, 409 nt
Filed under: uncultured bacterium
Lineage: Bacteria
Description: bacterial SSU rRNA
Rfam family: Bacterial small subunit ribosomal RNA
Source: RNAcentral
GUGUCAGCCGCCGCGGUAAUACGGAGGGUGCAAGCGCUAUCCGGAUUCAUUGGGUUUAAAGGGUGCGCAGGCGGAUAAUUAAGUCAGUGGUGAAAUCCCGGGGCUCAACCUCGGAACUGCCAUUGAUACUGAUAAUCUGGAAUACGGUUGAAGUGGGCGGAAUGUAGCAUGUAGCGGUGAAAUGCAUAGAGAUGCUACAGAACACCGAUCGCGAAGGCAGCUCACUAAGCCGAUAUUGACGCUCAGGCACGAAAGCGUGGGGAGCGAACAGGAUUAGAUACCCUGGUAGUCCACGCCGUAAACGAUGAUAACUCGUUGUUGGCGAUAUACAGUCAGCGACUAAGCGAAAGCGAUAAGUUAUCCACCUGGGGAGUACGAUCGCAAGGUUGAAACUCAAAGGAAUAGACGG